UACGAAGGGGGCUAGCGUUGCUCGGAAUCACUGGGCGUAAAGGGUGCGUAGGCGGGUCUUUAAGUCAGGGGUGAAAUCCUGGAGCUCAACUCCAGAACUGCCUUUGAUACUGAGGAUCUUGAGUUCGGGAGAGGUGAGUGGAACUGCGAGUGUAGAGGUGAAAUUCGUAGAUAUUCGGAAGAACACCAGUGGCGAAGGCGACUCACUGGCCCGAUACUGACGCUGAGGCGCGAAAGCGUGGGGAGCAAACAGG
This 253-nucleotide ribosomal RNA is filed under the name uncultured bacterium. RNAcentral describes it as "partial 16S ribosomal RNA". It matches the Rfam family "Bacterial small subunit ribosomal RNA", at positions 524 to 776 of the family's 1533-position model. The record is from RNAcentral.